Molecule: long non-coding RNA, 1534 nt
Organism: Biomphalaria glabrata
Lineage: Eukaryota; Metazoa; Mollusca; Gastropoda; Planorbidae
Exons: 2
Source: RefSeq, a predicted model, not a curated record
CAAAAGUUUACUGGAGUGAGGUCAGAGGCGUCGCUAUGAGGAGACCGAACGUUUGACAAUGCUUCGUUCUAUUUCGCUUUUGAGAUUUUAAGUUCGAUAAACAUAAUUAGAUAGUUUGCUUGGAGUCGAGCUGUAAUAAUGCGGUCUGGAUUUUGGGAUGUCAGUCUUAAACAAAGGAAAUCAUUUGCCAAACUGGGGGUCGAAUACUAAGUGACGUUGUGCUAGAGCGUUGCAUGAAGUGUGCGGGACAUGUUCUCCGACAAAAUGAACUACGCAUACCAAGAGUUGCGAUGACAUGAAGGCCAUUACAGAUCUUUCUGAAGACAGCUUGCCGCCCAAUGCACCGAACGGCAUGGGAGGACCUAAGUCUAAGCAAAAAGUAAGUCAGUAAACAUCGAGCCUCACAUCCGACAUUUUAAAGUCGAUCCCUAAAAUGGAUGAUGAAUUUUCAUUACUUUACAAACAAAAUCAACUUGAGAUGAAAUGAGAUAAAUGUAGUAGAAUCUAGUAACAAUAUACAAUUUUCAAUCAAUACGAAAUAUAUUUUAAAAUUUCGAUCUAAUUGUCUAAACAUCAGUUUAAAAUAUAAUGGCGGAGCCUCAUAGGUUGCGCCCAUCCAUUCGAGACCGGCACUGAAGACACUGGAUAACAAAUAUCAAAUUCCACACUGUUAAACAAGGUCGCUUUCUAUAUUUAGCACAUCGGUAAUUCCCAUAUAUAUUACGUAAGGGAAAAUCAGCUCUUCAAAAACAGGAAUUCAAUUUCACAUAGGGUACAUAUUGUCUACAGUUAAACAUCGAACAUUAACUGUCUUCUGUUCGCUGAAAGUCUAAACAUUGAAAAGAUGUCUCAUGUGAUGGACCAAGUGAUUUUUGCUCUAUUAGAAUUUAUAUUUCUUAUAGUAUUCACAAUUAUAACCUGGUUCCUGUCGGUAACAUCACAUUGCCUCUUAUUUAUAAUCACUUUUGUGGCGCCGAUUGUCUUCCACACAACGACAGCAGCCCUUCAGGUCACCAUUCAGACUGGCGUCUGCCUGGUCCGGGUCCUGGUAAGCUCCAUCCAGAUGAUAAUCGUCGACUGGAGGAUCACACUUUUGGUGUUAUUUUUCGUCGCGGAAUGGUUGCUGAAUUUACAAUUUGGCUGGUCUUCAAUUUCUUGAAGUCACAAGUCAAGCCCAGAAUUGAUGACGUAGAUGACCUUGACCUAUGUGAACAACUGUGCGAAAGACUACCGAGGAUGUUCUCACGACGUUGACGUAUGGGCUCACAGCAACUCUGUAUAAAUCUUUGUAUAGAUAUUUCGACUUUCUUCGAUGCACAGACCGGUCGUAACAUCUGUAUACUAGGUUUCAUAUCUUCCAAUUCAUAUCUGGGAGAUGGAGAUGCAAAGAAUUGACUCACAUUAGUCACAUAUGAUGAAGGGUUGUAUAAAUUAAAAAUCCUAUUUUAAUAUAAUGCAUAAAUGAAUAUAAUAUUUUCACUUGAUUUUCCUAUUGAUAUUCAUUUGCAUAUGUUAAAUAAAGAGUAAAAGUCAA